This is a long non-coding RNA of Carassius gibelio (silver crucian carp), 554 nucleotides long. RefSeq lists it as uncharacterized. Lineage: Eukaryota; Metazoa; Chordata; Actinopteri; Cypriniformes; Cyprinidae. The transcript is spliced from 3 exons. The record is from RefSeq and is a predicted model, not a curated record.
CAGUGAACCAAAGAAUACGCAUCUCCCUGGAACUGGGAAUGGUGUUCGCACACAUGCAGCGCUAAUGGGAAAGAAAAGUGCUUUUUUACAAGCUUAUAUAAUUGGGACAUAUAUAGCUCCUUCGCUCUUUUUUCCUCUGCACGUCGGAGCUCCUCUUCUUCCCUCUGCCUCUCCUCUUCCUCUGUGUCACAGACAACUGGGAUUAAUAUGCUGCAUAUUCUGCCAUGUUCAACUCAUACAAGUCCUGUUUCUCAUCUUGCCUGUCAGCGGUAAUUUUAUUGAUGAACCCAUCUAAGAUAAUAAAGGGAUAGAAUCUAUCUGAUCUGUACUUCAGUUAAAAGUAUCAAUUUACACAAAACAUUCAUUUGAUGAUCACACUACUCAAAAGUAACUUACUUGACUCCAUGAAAAACUAAUGCUAAUAUUGUCAGCACAGUGACAAGCAAAAAUGAUCCAAAUCUCUGUUGUUAUUUCCACUUGUAGCAUGAGAGCAUUAUUGGAAAUUCCUGCUGGGCGUGAUUUCUGUUUAGACGUUUCUCUCAUUGCUUGAGAGC